GAUGAACGCUGGCGGCGUGCUUAACACAUGCAAGUCGAACGGAAAGGCCCAAGCUUGCUUGGGUACUCGAGUGGCGAACGGGUGAGUAACACGUGGGUGAUCUGCCCUGCACUUCGGGAUAAGCCUGGGAAACUGGGUCUAAUACCGGAUAGGACCACAUUUUGGAUGGUGUGGUGGAAAGUUUUUCGGUGUGGGAUGAGCUCGCGGCCUAUCAGCUUGUUGGUGGGGUAAUGGCCUACCAAGGCGUCGACGGGUAGCCGGCCUGAGAGGGUGUACGACGACAUUGGGUCCGACAGACGGCACAGGUACGGACGGGAGGGAGCAGGGGGGAAGAUUGAACGAGGGGCGCAAGCCGGAUGAAGAGAGGCCGCGGGGGGGAGGACGGUCUUCGGGUUGUAAACUACAUUCGCUAGGGACGAAGCGUUAUGUGACGGUACCUGGAGAAGAAGCACCGGCUAACUACGUG
RNAcentral lists this ribosomal RNA (466 nucleotides) under uncultured bacterium. RNAcentral describes it as "partial 16S ribosomal RNA". It matches the Rfam family "Bacterial small subunit ribosomal RNA", at positions 28 to 507 of the family's 1533-position model. The record is from RNAcentral.